Molecule: ribosomal RNA, 557 nt
Filed under: uncultured bacterium
Lineage: Bacteria
Description: partial 16S ribosomal RNA
Rfam family: Bacterial small subunit ribosomal RNA
Source: RNAcentral
UGGGGAAUUUUGGACAAUGGCGAAAGCCUGAUCCAGCAAUGCCGCGUGUGUGAAGAAGGCCUUCGGGUUGUAAAGCACUUUUGUCCGGAAAGAAAUCCUUGGCUCUAAUACAGUCGGGGGAUGACGGUACCGGAAGAAUAAGCACCGGCUAACUACGUGCCAGCAGCCGCGGUAAUACGUAGGGUGCAAGCGUUAAUCGGAAUUACUGGGCGUAAAGCGUGCGCAGGCGGUUUGCUAAGACCGAUGUGAAAUCCCCGGGCUCAACCUGGGAACUGCAUUGGUGACUGGCAGGCUAGAGUAUGGCAGAGGGGGGUAGAAUUCCACGUGUAGCAGUGAAAUGCGUAGAGAUGUGGAGGAAUACCGAUGGCGAAGGCAGCCCCCUGGGCCAAUACUGACGCUCAUGCACGAAAGCGUGGGGGAGCAAACAGGAUUAGAUACCCUGGUAGUCCACGCCCUAAACGAUGUCAACUAGUUGUUGGGGAUUCAUUUCCUUAGUAACGUAGCUAACGCGUGAAGUUGACCGCCUGGGGAGUACGGUCGCAAGAUUAAAACUCAAA